GACGAACGCUGGCGGCGUGCCUAAUACAUGCAAGUAGAACGCACAGUUUAUACCGUAGCUUGCUACACCAUAAACUGUGGGUUGCGAACGGGUGAGUAACGCGUAGGUAACCUGCCUGGUAGCGGGGGAUAACUAUUGGAAACGAUAGCUAAUACCGCAUAAUAUUGAUUAUUGCAUGAUAAUUGAUUGAAAGAUGCUAUUGCAUCACUACCAGAUGGACCUGCGUUGUAUUAGCUAGUAGGUGAGGUAACGGCUCACCUAGGCGACGAUACAUAGCCGACCUGAGAGGGUGAUCGGCCACACUGGGACUGAGACACGGCCCAGACUCCUACGGGAGGCAGCAGUAGGGAAUCUUCGGCAAUGGACGAAAGUCUGACCGAGCAACGCCGCGUGAGUGAAGAAGGUUUUCGGAUCGUAAAACUCUGUUGUAAGAGAAGAACGGGUGUGAGAGUGGAAAGUUCACACUGUGACGGUAUCUUACCAGAAAGAGACGGCUAACUACGUG
Molecule: ribosomal RNA, 505 nt
Filed under: uncultured bacterium
Lineage: Bacteria
Description: partial 16S ribosomal RNA
Rfam family: Bacterial small subunit ribosomal RNA
Source: RNAcentral